This 499-nucleotide small RNA is filed under the name Histoplasma capsulatum var. duboisii H88. Its description in RNAcentral is "Histoplasma capsulatum H88 hypothetical RNA". The record is from RNAcentral. Lineage: Eukaryota; Fungi; Ascomycota; Eurotiomycetes; Onygenales; Ajellomycetaceae.
AUCUGAGGAGGGAGCUGGGCGGGGACCUUCUUCCCCGGGUUUUUGAGAGAGAGCUUGUUUUGACGCAGUGUUCAAGUGCCCUGAAGUUUAACCCGGCCUUUUUACCAUUGAACCAGCUUAUCGAAUAGCGCAUGUUUCGCGGCCAGAGCGAACUUGUCGAGUAUAAGAUUUGUUGGUGAGAGCAAUUUCAAAGAGGAUCCGUACUUUGUGCUCCUGAGGUGGGCGUUUACCGUGGUCCACGCCAAGAGGAACCUGGGCUUCUUUAUCUGCAAAAAGCAGCGGUGGAGUAUCUCCGUCCUAUAUCCUUACUCUUCAACCACUACUAAAAAUACUGCGCGCAUGUAGGAACCGGACAAAAUGCAAAUCGACCCAAUCACUGAGGAGUAUAAGCACAUGCUACUCAUGGAGACCGAAGAAUAAGCGCGGAGGGCGGGAGGGGUGCUGUCAAUGAUAUCCGAUGAUAUAUCAUAGAUCAUAUUAUUCUUGAAACCUGAACACC